RNAcentral lists this ribosomal RNA (774 nucleotides) under Triticum aestivum (bread wheat). RNAcentral describes it as "partial small subunit ribosomal RNA". Lineage: Eukaryota; Viridiplantae; Streptophyta; Magnoliopsida; Poales; Poaceae. The record is from RNAcentral.
AUGAAGAACACCUGGGACUGGAACCUGGAGGAGGACAUUAAAUGUGUUAUGUGUACGUGCAACUUGUGUGGUUGUUGCACGGGCUCCAACAUGCUCUUUGAGAAAAAAGGUGGCACAGCUUUGGAUAUACGUGACGUGGCGACAUUAUACAGUAGCAUCGUUCGCUAUAGUUGUAGUAUAGGCUACAUGUCUAUCCUUAAUUACAGCAUGCAACGACCUUCAUUUAAUCUACUUAGGCUUCAAUCGAAGAAGGAUUGGUCGGUGCUGCCGGCUGGCGUCAAGUUCGAUCCCACGGAUCAGGAGCUGAUCGAGCACCUUGAGACCAAAGUGAGUGCUAACAGCGCGAGAUCUCACCCUCUCAUCGAUUUGUUCAUACCAACCAUCGACAGCGAGCACGGCAUAUGCUACGCCCAUCCUGAGAAACUUCCAGGUAUCACACUGAGUGGCCUAAGCAAGCAUUUCUUCCAGCGCAAUUCCAGGGCGUUCAAAAGGGGCACGUGGACGCGUCGCAAGAUACAGUCGGAGUGCGGCAUGCACGCGAUGUGGCACAACACCGAAAAUACCUUGCCGGUGAUGGUCAACGGCCGGCAGCCGGGCAGCAAAAAGGUUCUGGUGCUGCACACCAACAAGAACUUCGACCAGCAGAGGACCAACUGGGUGAUGCAUGAGUACCACCUCGGGGACCUGGAGCAAGAGAAGGAGCGGGAGCUGGUCCUCUGCAAGAUUUUCUACCAGACGAACACUAGGGCCAGGAGUAAAAAGAUUAUAAGUUAG